RNAcentral lists this transfer RNA (75 nucleotides) under Rhizobium phage RHph_I1_18. RNAcentral describes it as "tRNA-Lys". It matches the Rfam family "tRNA". Rfam says of the family: Transfer RNA (tRNA) molecules are approximately 80 nucleotides in length. Their secondary structure includes four short double-helical elements and three loops (D, anti-codon, and T loops). The record is from RNAcentral. Lineage: Duplodnaviria; Heunggongvirae; Uroviricota; Caudoviricetes.
GGGUGUAUAAUAUAACGGCUAUUAUCUCCCGCUCUUAACCGGAUCAUCGGAGUUCGAAUCUCCGUGCACCCACCA